GAUGAAGAACGUAGCGAAAUGCGAUAAGUAAUGUGAAUUGCAGAAUUCAGUGAAUCAUCGAAUCUUUGAACGCACAUUGCGCCCCUUGGUAUUCCGAGGGGCAUGCCUGUUCGAGCGUCAUUAUAACCCUCAAGCUCAGCUUGGUGUUGGGGCCUGCUGCACUGGCAGCCCUUAAAAUCAGUGGCGGCGCCAUCUGGCUCUAAGCGUAGUAAUCCUUCUCGCUAUGGAGUCCUGGUGGAUGCUUGCCAUCAACCCCCAAUUUUUCUAUGGUUGACCUCGGAUCAGGUAGGGAUACCCGCUGAACUUAAGCAUAUCAAUAAGCGGAGGA
This 328-nucleotide unclassified non-coding RNA is filed under the name soil metagenome. RNAcentral describes it as "partial contains 5.8S ribosomal RNA, internal transcribed spacer 2, and large subunit ribosomal RNA". The stretch from base 1 to 120 matches the Rfam family "5.8S ribosomal RNA", at positions 35 to 154 of the family's 154-position model. The record is from RNAcentral.